UAGGGAAUCUUCGGCAAUGGACGAAAGUCUGACCGAGCAACGCCGCGUGAGUGAAGAAGGUUUUCGGAUCGUAAAACUCUGUUGUUAGAGAAGAACAAGGACGUUAGUAACUGAACGUCCCCUGACGGUAUCUAACCAGAAAGCCACGGCUAACUACGUGCCAGCAGCCGCGGUAAUACGUAGGUGGCAAGCGUUGUCCGGCUUUAUUGGGCGUAAAGCGAGCGCAGGCGGUUUCUUAAGUCUGAUGUGAAAGCCCCCGGCUCAACCGGGGAGGGUCAUUGGAAACUGGGAGACUUGAGUGCAGAAGAGGAGAGUGGAAUUCCAUGUGUAGCGGUGAAAUGCGUAGAUAUAUGGAGGAACACCAGUGGCGAAGGCGGCUCUCUGGUCUGUAACUGACGCUGAGGCUCGAAAGCGUGGGGAGCAAACAGG
Molecule: ribosomal RNA, 429 nt
Filed under: Chloroflexota bacterium
Lineage: Bacteria; Bacillati; Chloroflexota
Also listed under: 1 other name
Description: Chloroflexi bacterium partial 16S ribosomal RNA
Rfam family: Bacterial small subunit ribosomal RNA
Source: RNAcentral